AGGGGUUGGGGUAUUCAUGUUCUGCCCUUGCAGCACUGCAGCCACCAGGUCCUUCGAGUCAUCCCUGUGGAAGAAGUGCAAGGUGGAGAUGUGCUGGGCAGCUCAGCAUCCCUGAGAUCUGAAGGUGGGUGGAAGGAGGAAUCUCCUUUCUUCUUGGGUCACGCUUGCUGGCUAGGCUGGAGACAGCUCCUGCAAACCUCAGCUCUGUGCAAGGGCAUUUGUUAUCAGAGACAGCAACAAAAUAGAUGAACCCAAAGGGGCUCCCUUGUCUCAUGCAGGAGGGAAGACAGAGCCACUGUGAGACUGACUGCUGCUAACAGCUCCGCAUCGUGCAGGCUGCGGCAAAGGGUUUUGCAGGACAAAUGUGCAGAAUUGUUGCAAGUCUAUGAAUCAGUCUUUGGAUCAGAGAUACAGUGGGUGCUGAUACAGAUCUUAGCCCACAGAAUUUAUUCUGCUUGGUUUCUUUCAGAUGCAGGACAGACCUUGCAGAACCCAAGCAACUUGCAUAUGAGGGGAUGCAGGUCCACUGAGUCCAUUGGGAGAGCAGGGGCUGCACACACCAGCUGUGGUGGCACUUUGCUGCCCACCAUCACUGGUAGCUCAUGGCUGGGAUUGCUCCCUCCACUGCCUGGACUCUCAGGCUAUGUUUCUUACUUGGAAAUAGUUUGUUCCCCUUUGGAUGCCUGGGGUGAAUGAUGGGAGGGAGCACUUCAGGAGUUUUGUUGUUGUAUUGCUUCUUUCUCUGGUGUCUCUAUGUUCCAAAAUUUGUCCACAGGUCAAAAGCAACGACUCAAAUCCAGCAAAUGGCUCUUUGUUGGGCAGACCUGUUGCAUACACCGCUCAGGGCUGACUUAUUUUCCUCUUGGUGGUAGUGAUCUUUAACGGAUACUGCAAUUUUUAGGACUGUCCAGGAAAUAGAUGCCUGCAUUUCUCUCUGACUCAAUGUGUGGGUAUUAAAACAUUCUUAAAGCAUUUCGGGAGGGGGAGAGCAUAUCAAUAUUCUGGGCUGCCAGUAAGCUUUUGUUUUUGGUGUUCAGCUGCCAAAGCUGCAGAGCACUGGGGUGGAGACCAGCGCAUGGACUGUUCUGAUGGAGUCACCCUGCAGUGUACAGGAUAGGUCAUUAAAUCACAAUCAGAAGCAUCUGCUGGGCUGAUUUGGCUCUUGUUACGUGAGACACCCUCAGUUGCUCCUGUCCAGGGUCCUCCAUCAUUUCCCAGUGCUCUGCCAUCUCCAUCAGCCUCUCCUAUUUGCAGGACCCUGUUAUAAUGGGGAUGCUCCAGGACCUCCAUAAUAUCCUGCAUGUCCCCAUUGCAUGAUGCCAGAGCACCAUUGGCAGCAAUCACCCAGGUGUUACUGAGUGAAGGGUUUGGAUGGGGUCAGCAGAGACGUAAUUGCAUCUGGAAAAAUAAAAAUUGAAAGUAUCAAUAUUUCCCUGAGGCUGGAAGUAGAAAUGAGUCCUGAAUUUUCAGUGAAGGCACCAAACAACUUUGCCUCAGCUAAAAAAAAAAAACAAAAAAAAAAAAAAAAAACCCAGUAAAAUUAAGAAACUGAAAUUUGGACUAAAUCAGCAUGCCUGUGGGAGGAAGUGGUUUUUCUCUCUCAUCUUAUAAAACCAUGUCAGAGGCCUUCAUUUGCAAUGCCAUUUUCUCUCCUAUCCAAGGUUUUCUGCCUGUUGCGUAUCUCCAAGUACAAUUAAUACAGCAGAUGGCAUCUGGGUACUUUGGCAGGUGUGAAGGAGGCCUUGUCUUCUUCUGAAGUGUUUCACUAUAUAAAUAAGCUCUGUGUAACUGCUGAGACCCAGGUAUGGUACAUCUUGGGCAGCAUCCUGAAUAUCAGGCUAGAAUUAGUCUGUAGCAGGGACUCAUUGAAUACAAAGUGAAGUGGCAUAAAGGGAAGAGGUUGAGAGCAUUGGCACGCAGCACGUGCCAUGGUUAGCACAGCCUGCGUGCUCGUAGCAUGGCAGGAGGUGAAGGGAUCAUCAUGAAACAGGAGAGUCCAAACGUACUUGAGUAUUUGCUGAGGUUAUUUAGCCAUGUGAAUGAUUUGUCUCUCUCCCUAAUUCACAUGAUGAUUUUGGUGUGUUUUUGGUAACGCAUGCAUGUGAUGAAAGGCAAGUCGUUGGAGUUUUCAUCCAUUUGAAACAUCCCAGGUAGAAAUUACUAUUUGAAACUGUGAAAGCUGUAAAUAGAAAGUUGAGGAGAUAGGAAUGGUAUUGUUGCAAGUGAGA
Tympanuchus pallidicinctus (lesser prairie-chicken) is the source of this 2228-nucleotide long non-coding RNA. RefSeq lists it as uncharacterized. The record is from RefSeq and is a predicted model, not a curated record. The transcript has 4 exons. NCBI's taxonomy places the organism in Eukaryota, Metazoa, Chordata, Aves, Galliformes, Phasianidae.